This 494-nucleotide ribosomal RNA is filed under the name uncultured bacterium. RNAcentral's name for it is "bacterial SSU rRNA". It matches the Rfam family "Archaeal small subunit ribosomal RNA", at positions 455 to 948 of the family's 1478-position model. The record is from RNAcentral.
GUGCCAGCAGCCGCGGUAAUACCGGUGGCUCGAGUGGUGGCCGCUAUUAUUGGGUCUAAAGGGUCCGUAGCCGGCCUGAUAAGUUACCUGGGAAAUCCGGUGGCCUAACCAUCGGGCGGCCAGGUAAUACUAUCAGGCUCGGGACUAGGAGAGACCAGAGGUACUCAUGAGGUAGGAGUGAAAUCCUGUAAUCUUAUGAGGACCACCAGUGGUGAAGACGUCUGGUUAGAAUAGGUCCGACGGUGAGGGACGAAGGCUGGGGGCGCAAACCGGAUUAGAUACCCGGGUAGUCCCAGCAGUAAACGAUGCCAGCUAUGUGUUGCUGGAACCAUGGGUUCCAGCAGUGCCGAAGGGAAGCCGUGAAGCUGGCCACCUGGGAAGUACGGUCGCAAGGCUGAAACUUAAAGGAAUUGGCGGGGGAGUACCACAACCGGUGGAGCCUGCGGUUUAAUUGGAUACAACGCCGGGAAUCUUACCGGAGGGGACAGCAGUAU